Molecule: ribosomal RNA, 631 nt
Filed under: uncultured bacterium
Lineage: Bacteria
Description: bacterial SSU rRNA
Rfam family: Bacterial small subunit ribosomal RNA
Source: RNAcentral
AGAGUUUGAUCCUGGCUCAGGAUGAACGCUAGCGGGAGGCUUAACACAUGCAAGCCGAGGGGUAAAUGGUAGCAAUACUAUGAGACCGGCGGACGGGUGCGUAACGCGUAUGUAACCUACCCCAUACAGAGGGAUAACCCGGAGAAAUUCGGACUAAGACCUCAUAACACCAUGAGAGGGCAUCUGAUUAUGGUUAAAGUUCCGGCGGUAUGGGCUGGGCAUGCGUAACAUUAGCUAGUUGGUAGGGUAACGGCCUACCAAGGCUUCGAUGUUUAGGGGUCCUGAGAGGGUGGUCCCCCACACUGGUACUGAGACACGGACCAGACUCCUACGGGAGGCAGCAGUGAGGAAUAUUGGUCAAUGGGCGCAAGCCUGAACCAGCCAUCCCGCGUGCAGGAAGAAGGCGCUAUGCGUUGUAAACUGCUUUUCCAGGGGAAGAAAACUUCCAUCGUGAUGGGACUUGCCGGUACCCUGGGAAUAAGCAUCGGCUAACUCCGUGCCAGCAGCCGCGGUAAUACGGAGGAUGCAAGCGUUAUCCGGAUUUAUUGGGUUUAAAGGGUGCGUAGGCGGAUUAAUAAGUCAGUGGUGAAAACCUGCAGCUUAACUGUAGAACUGCCAUUGAUACUGUUAG